UUACGGCCAUAUCACGUUGAAACAUCGAUUCUCGUACGAUCACCGAAGUUAAGCAAUAUCGAGCUUGGUCAGUACCUAGAUGGUUGACCGCUUGGGAAUACCAGGUGCUGU
This 111-nucleotide ribosomal RNA is filed under the name Acanthosepion pharaonis. Lineage: Eukaryota; Metazoa; Mollusca; Cephalopoda; Sepiida; Sepiidae. The record is from RNAcentral.